Long non-coding RNA from Oncorhynchus tshawytscha (Chinook salmon), 802 nucleotides. Lineage: Eukaryota; Metazoa; Chordata; Actinopteri; Salmoniformes; Salmonidae. The record is from Ensembl.
GGAACACAAGCUUUUCGUUACAAUUACAUCUGCUAAAUAUUUGUAUGGAUCAAUACAAUUUGAUUUGAUUUUAGAAAUGAGACCAGAAAUACCUUACAAUCUCCUUACUAUUACCCAGUCCCCCCUUAUCUUUGACUGACCACAGCAGUAGCAGGUGUUUCGUGAAACUGGAGGUAGAGGCACGGACGUGGUACUUUUCAGGGCAGGUCCCUACCACCCGGUAAAGCAGUAAAGAGCAGGAAGAGGCAGGUGAAUAGUAACGGCACCGCCACCAAAGAAGAUUAAAAAAAGGGAGAAAAGCGUGAGGGACAAGAGGAAACCUGAGAGGGAGAAAGAAAAGGAGGAAAAGACAAAGGGGAAAACAAAGCCAAGAAAGGGUUGCUGCUGAAGGGCCUGGGAGAUGUGUUCAGGAUCCAGGCGGAGACUAGCGUGUUCCGUGAACAUCAGGCAUCGGUGGCGAGGGAGAGAGGGAGUACGCUGAGAUCCAACCUCAACCGCACCUUCAGCUCCAACGAGUGAAGGGGUCAAACCAAGGCCUCAUAAAUUGUCUUAUGUUAAACUGUAAGGUCUCCUCCCAGGAGACUCCUGUGUGUGUGUUAAAACCUGUUUUGAGUGAUAUGCCCUGCAGACACUAUCAGAAGGCGGAAACCGCCUACGCUCAUACUCCUCCUGUCUGGGUCCCACUGUGACUGCCUGAGGUUCUAAGAAUACGUCUGGUUUUCUGAGAACACAAGGCCACCGCAGGCCUGAUGGAAACCGCCACCUGGCAGAAGAGGCUUAGACUUAUCUGUUGUGAAAUGUC